Molecule: ribosomal RNA, 484 nt
Filed under: uncultured bacterium
Lineage: Bacteria
Description: partial 16S ribosomal RNA
Rfam family: Bacterial small subunit ribosomal RNA
Source: RNAcentral
AUUGAACGCUGGCGGCAGGCCUAACACAUGCAAGUCGAGCGGAUGACGGGAGCUUGCUCCUUGAUUCAGCGGCGGACGGGUGAGUAAUGCCUAGGAAUCUGCCUGGUAGUGGGGGACAACGUUUCGAAAGGAACGCUAAUACCGCAUACUUCCUACUGGAGAAAGCAGGGGACCUUCGGGCCUUUCGCUAUCAGAUGAGCCUAGGUCGGAUUAGCUUGUUGGUGAGGUAAUGGCUCACCAAGGCGACGAUCCGUAACUGGUCUGAGAGGAUGAUCAGUCACACUGGAACUGAGACACGGUCAAGACUCCUAAGGGAGGCAGCAGUGGGGAAUAUUGGACAACGGGCGAAAGCCUGAUACAGCCAUGCCGCGUGUGUGAAGAAGGUCUUCGGAUUGUAAAGAACUUUAAGUUGGGAGGAAGGGUUGUAGAUUAAUACUCUGCAAUUUUGACGUUACCGACAGAAUAAGCACCGGCUAACUAUGUG